This 138-nucleotide unclassified non-coding RNA is filed under the name uncultured fungus. Its description in RNAcentral is "sequence contains ITS1". Lineage: Eukaryota; Fungi. The record is from RNAcentral.
CCGAGUACGAACGCUCAGCGUUCACUCUCUCACCCUUGUGUAACGUUCAAGUAACUUACUGCUUCGGCGACUGUCAGCAGUUGCCGGCGGCACAUCACACUCAUUGUCAUUGAAGUCUGAGAAACAUCAAACCAAUCA